ACACUGCCCCUCCUCACUGCCAGCGUCUCCCACCCCCACGAGCUGGCGCCCAGUUCUCCAGGUGGUCCUCUUUCCUCUGUCCUCUGCCCAUCCCUAGGGGAAAGAAGAGUCCCUAUCAGAUGCCUCCAUCUGACCCCAAUCCCCUGAGCAUGAAGGACCCCUGCAGACCAUGGUCGGUGAGCUGCCAGCACGGCCAGGCAAGGUGGACAACUGUGUCAAGCCCCUUCCAACUCAUGGAUGCAGCGAUUCCCCAGGAAGUGGGUUAGCAGAAGUCAGCAAGGGCAGGGGGGCUUACCCCGGCCUCCAGGUCGAAAGGGCGCCUCCGGGAAUGCAGCUGGGGAGAAAGUCUUCUUCCAACCACACCGAAGUGACACCAGCUACCUGAAACUCAAAGCGAAAGUGGACCAGGGAGCAUUCCUGACCUCGAUGCACCUCAUAGAGUCUGAAUUAAAACACCAAGAUCGCCACAUUA
This is a long non-coding RNA of Homo sapiens (human), 472 nucleotides long. RefSeq lists it as uncharacterized. The record is from RefSeq and is a predicted model, not a curated record. Lineage: Eukaryota; Metazoa; Chordata; Mammalia; Primates; Hominidae. The transcript has 2 exons.